AGAGUUUGAUCAUGGCUCAGGACGAACGCUGGCGGCGUGGAUUAGGCAUGCAAGUCGCGCGACGGACCUUCGGGUUACGGAGCGGCGAACGGGUGAGUAACACGUGAACAAUCUGUCCCCCCAUUCCGGAUAAUUGGUCGAAAGACCUUGUAAUACGGGCGAGAGUCAUUCUUAGGCAUCUUAGAAUGAAGGAAGGUGCAAGGUAACUUGUGCCGUGUGGGGAGGAGUUCGCGGCCUAUCAGGUAGUUGGUGGGGUAAUGGCCUACCAAGCCUACGACGGGUAGCUGGUCUGAGAGGAUGGUCAGCCACAUUGGGACUGAGACACUGCCCAGACUCCUACGGGAGGCUGCAGUCGAGAAUCUUGGGCAAUGCACGAAAGUGUGACCCAGCGACGCCGCGUGAAGGAUGAAGGCCCUUGGGUCGUAAACUUCUUUUAUGGGGGAAGAAUCAAUGACGGUACCCCAUGAAUAAGCCACGGCUAACUACGUGCCAGCAGCCGCGGUAAUACGUAGGUGGCAAGCGUUGUCCGGAUUUACUGGGCGUAAAGCGUGCGCAGGCGGACUUUUAAGUAGAAAGUGAAAGGUUGGAGCUCAACUCCGACACUGCUUCCUAUACUGGGAGUCUUGAAUGCCGGAGAGGAAGAUGGAACGACACGUGUAGCGGUGAAAUGCGUUGAGAUGUGUCGGAACACCAAUGGCGAAAGCAAUCUUCUGGACGGAUAUUGACGCUCAUGCACGAAAGCUAAGGUAGCAAACAGGAUUAGAUACCCUAGUAGUCC
RNAcentral lists this ribosomal RNA (778 nucleotides) under uncultured bacterium. RNAcentral describes it as "bacterial SSU rRNA". It matches the Rfam family "Bacterial small subunit ribosomal RNA", at positions 8 to 796 of the family's 1533-position model. The record is from RNAcentral.